Molecule: unclassified non-coding RNA, 250 nt
Filed under: uncultured Ulocladium
Lineage: Eukaryota; Fungi; Ascomycota; Dothideomycetes; Pleosporales; Pleosporaceae
Description: sequence contains ITS2
Rfam family: 5.8S ribosomal RNA (bases 1-52)
Source: RNAcentral
AACGCACAUUGCGCCCUUUGGUAUUCCAAAGGGCAUGCCUGUUCGAGCGUCAUUUGUACCCUCAAGCUUUGCUUGGUGUUGGGCGUCUUGUCUCCAGUUCGCUGGAGACUCGCCUUAAAGUAAUUGGCAGCCGGCCUACUGGUUUCGGAGCGCAGCACAAGUCGCGCUCUCUUCCAGCGAAGGUCAGCAUCCACAAAGCCUUUUUUCAACUUUUGACCUCGGAUCAGGUAGGGAUACCCGCUGAACUUAA